CAGGGUGCUCGCUUUGGCGCUAAAAUUGGAAAGAUACAGAGAAGGUUAGCAUUGGUCCUGUGAAAGGAUGACUUGCAAAUUCAUGAAACUUCCCAUAAGAAA
Molecule: small nuclear RNA, 102 nt
Organism: Lemur catta (Ring-tailed lemur)
Lineage: Eukaryota; Metazoa; Chordata; Mammalia; Primates; Lemuridae
Source: RefSeq, a predicted model, not a curated record